This 1523-nucleotide long non-coding RNA is filed under the name Bos indicus x Bos taurus (hybrid cattle). RNAcentral describes it as "lncRNA (ENSBIXG00000004368.1)". The record is from RNAcentral. Lineage: Eukaryota; Metazoa; Chordata; Mammalia; Artiodactyla; Bovidae.
CUUUGAGUUGGGCAAAGAUACUUAAAAUCCGACAGCAGAAGCACGACCUUAGAAGAAGAGAAAUUGCUAAGCUGAGCGCCAUGAAAAUGAAGAGCAAAUGCUCGUAAAAAGCUCUCACCACGGAGGGUGAAAACAGGAGCUGAGGACUGGGAGGAAUCGCCCACUGGGGGGAAGUCACAUCUCUGAGAAGAGGCUCACGCUUCAAGCGUCUAAUAAGACAACAAACCACCAAUUAAACAAUGGGCAAAAGGCUGGAGCAGACAUGUCACCAGCAGAGAUACUUGGAUGGGAAGUAAGCAACAGAAGAAGCCCAGUGUUAUUAGCCAUUGGUGUUGCUUUUGCUCACUUGCCAAGUCACGUCUGAUGCUUUGCAACCCCACAGACUGCAGCAUGCCAAGCCUCCCUGUCCCUCACCAUCUUCCAGAGUUGGCUCAAAUUCAUGUCCAUUGAGUCGGUGAUGCCAUCCAACCAUCUCAUCCUCUGUCGGCCUCUCCUCCUUCUGCCUGCAGUCUUUCCCAGAGCAGGGUCUUUUCUAAUAAGUCGGCUCUUAGCCACUAAGGAAGCACAAACCCCAGCCCCAAGGAGGGCUGCCCCGUCCCGUCAGCAGACACAAAGGCGGCUGACCAGGACUGGCCAUCAGUAGGACAGCCAGGCAGAGCUAAAGACUGAGAACGGGGCAUUUCCUGGUAAAUACCAACACACCUGGGCCCCCAAGCAUCUCCAGAAAGCCUCAGGCAUGUGAAGAAAGGGACCUCUUGUCUCUGUGCCCCUGCUCUCCAGGGAAAGACUUCUUUUUAAGGAAAAAAACAUCCAUUCUUCAUUUUCAAAAUAGCUUCUCGGCUACAUGCCCCAAAGCAUCACAUAGAAACAACUGCGAGAGAGGAAGCUGCCUACACUGAGGGAAUUAAAAGCUUUCAAACAGUUGGCAUCUGGGAGCUCCUGAGACAACGGCGGGCACUCCAGUGACGGUCACAGGGACACUGUGGUCUUUGCAUCAGCAGCUCGUGCUGCGGAGGACAGUGACCACGGCCACAGCUCAGCUGAGAGACAGAGACCUCACGUGCUCACCGCUUCUCCCAGGGGUUGCGGGUAGAACUCUCGGGUUUAGUCAUCACACGCUUAGCAGCACCGGUCUCGUCCUUCAGUCCAGCCUGACCCAGCGUGUUCUGUUCUCCGAGCAGGACCUGGAGAUGGGAGCCGUCAGACUGCAGGCUGCCGGCCGAGGUGGGGGCGGACGGGGAGGAGGGGGGCAGGGCCUUCUCACCCCCAGCAAGGACCGCCCGGGUCCCAGGGGGCAUCCACCUCGAUUUGGUGCCACGGUGGGUCCUCACUUCCUCCAGACGAAGCCUCCCAGGGCAGCGGGCCAGGCUACAAUAGCAAUAAAUAACCGAGCUCCAGCCCUGUUGUGAAACGCAAAUCCUAGAUUUUAAAGUGUUUUUCAACAUAAAGUCACGGGAGUGGAAGUUCCAGCACCAAAACAAAGUUAUAUAAGAGGAAUAAUAAAUUAAAGAUGUCGAGAGGCA